Molecule: long non-coding RNA, 986 nt
Filed under: Gopherus agassizii (Agassiz's desert tortoise)
Lineage: Eukaryota; Metazoa; Chordata; Testudines; Testudinidae
Description: lncRNA (ENSGAGG00000003863.1)
Source: RNAcentral
AAUCAGGGAAAUUAAUCAGUGCUUCAUCUUCUCAGAAUUCUCGAGAGAGAAGCUAGAGAGAAGUUUGGAUGAACAGUGGAGCACCAAAUUGCUAAACUGAAAAUUAGAAGUGCCACCCGAUCACCAAUUUCAGGCCUUAUUGAAAAUGCAGUUGUGGAGGAUUUCCUGGUGGAGUUGAUAGUUCGAGAAAGAGAGAAAGCUCAAGAACUCUACUCCGCCACAGACAGAUCUGAGCAAAACAAACAUCUAACCAAGGAAUUACUGGCAAGCCCAGUAUUUUCCUCAGAAAGUGGAUGGGUGAAGGUUUUGUGAGUAUACUGGAUUUUCCUGCAGUGUUCUUGAUUUGGGAUCAAUUGUACAUGCCAGAUUGGAAUCAAAAGGUGAUGGAGAAUUUCUGUCUCUCAAUCUUUAUGCUAUUAAAGGAUUCACUAAUGGCUGCCAAUGAUUAUCCAGCUAUAAGAGAGGUGUUUUUGUUCUAUGGUUGUCAUCUUCUUACAGCUGAUAUUCAAAGGGCCUGGAUUCAUCUUCAGCAAGGUGGUUUACCAUCUGACAUCCCUGGGCUUAGCAGACAAAAUCAAAGGCCGCUUGCUGAUCUGUCUCCAAGGCUCAGUUCAAUGGAAGCUGGAAAGGUUUCGCUUGGCUUCCAGGACCUCUUGCAAGUUGAAGUGAAGGAUGUUUUACUGAAGCUAGUUUUACCAGUACCACAGGUUGAGAUAUCACACAUUGAAACUUGGUUGAAAGAAUUUGACCCUCUUGCUGUGGAGUUAACAGUUUCAGUAUUUUAUGGCCUUGAAAAACUGUGUUCCAAGACUAGCUCUUUUAAACUCUCUCUUCUACAGAAAACCAAAGGAAAAACAGCAAAAAAAAGUGAAACCACUGAAUUUAUUGUUCGGUUCAAUGAAACAUUUGCCUUUGAUUGUCUGGAUCCAUCUGAGUUUAUAAAUAUGGCAGAAGCUAAACCCUAUAUUGUAUUAAAAGUAGUUUAG